CGAUACAGGGUGACAGCCCCGUACACAAAAAUGCACAUACUGUGAGCUCGAUGAGUAGGGCGGGACACGUGGUAUCCUGUCUGAAUAUGGGGGGACCAUCCUCCAAGGCUAAAUACUCCUGACUGACCGAUAGUGAACCAGUACCGUGAGGGAAAGGCGAAAAGAACCCCGGCGAGGGGAGUGAAAAAGAACCUGAAACCGUGUACGUACAAGCAGUGGGAGCACGCUUAGGCGUGUGACUGCGUACCUUUUGUAUAAUGGGUCAGCGACUUAUAUUCUGUAGCAAGGUUAACCGAAUAGGGGAGCCGAAGGGAAACCGAGUCUUAACUGGGCGUUAAGUUGCAGGGUAUAGACCCGAAACCCGGUGAUCUAGCCAUGGGCAGGUUGAAGGUUGGGUAACACUAACUGGAGGACCGAACCGACUAAUGUUGAAAAAUUAGCGGAUGACUUGUGGCUGGGGGUGAAAGGCCAAUCAAACCGGGAGAUAGCUGGUUCUCCCCGAAAGCUAUUUAGGUAGCGCCUCGUGAAUUCAUCUCCGGGGGUAGAGCACUGUUUCGGCAAGGGGGUCAUCCCGACUUACCAACCCGAUGCAAACUGCGAAUACCGGAGAAUGUUAUCACGGGAGACACACGGCGGGUGCUAACGUCCGUCGUGAAGAGGGAAACAACCCAGACCGCCAGCUAAGGUCCCAAAGUCAUGGUUAAGUGGGAAACGAUGUGGGAAGGCCCAGACAGCCAGGAUGUUGGCUUAGAAGCAGCCAUCAUUUAAAGAAAGCGUAAUAGCUCACUGGUCGAGUCGGCCUGCGCGGAAGAUGUAACGGGGCUAAACCAUGCACCGAAGCUGCGGCAGCGACGCUGAUGCGUUGUUGGGUA
Molecule: ribosomal RNA, 872 nt
Filed under: Escherichia coli
Lineage: Bacteria; Pseudomonadati; Pseudomonadota; Gammaproteobacteria; Enterobacterales; Enterobacteriaceae
Description: partial 23S ribosomal RNA
Rfam family: Bacterial large subunit ribosomal RNA
Source: RNAcentral